GACGAACGCUGGCGGCGUGCUUAACACAUGCAAGUCGAACGGAAAGGCCCUGCUUUUGUGGGGUGCUCGAGUGGCGAACGGGUGUGUAACACGUGAGUAACCUCCCCUUGACUUUGGGAUAACUUCUGGAAACUGGGGCUAAUACCGGAUAGGAGCUCCUGCUGCGUGGUGGUGGUUGGAAAGUUUCGGCGGUUGGGGAUGGACUCGCGGCUUAUCAGCUUGUUGGUGGGGUAGUGGCUUACCAAGGCUUUGACGGGUAGCCGGCCUGAGAGGGUGACCGGCCACAUUGGGACUGAGAGAGGGACCAGAAGGCUACGGGAGGCAGCAGUGGGGAAUAUUGCACAAUGGGCGGAAGCCUGAUGCAGCAACGCCGGGUGCGGGAUGACGGCUUUUGGGUUGUAAACCGCUUUGGCCUGUGACGAAGCGUGAGUGACGGUAAUGGGUAAAGAAGCACCGGCUAACUACGUG
This 468-nucleotide ribosomal RNA is filed under the name uncultured bacterium. Its description in RNAcentral is "partial 16S ribosomal RNA". It matches the Rfam family "Bacterial small subunit ribosomal RNA", at positions 28 to 507 of the family's 1533-position model. The record is from RNAcentral.